ACAAUAUGUAUUUUCAAAGAAAAAAAUUAGGUUGACAGUAGUUGUAAUUAAUUAAUUAAUGAUAAAUUUAAGUAAUAAACAUAUUUGAAAACAACAUUGAAUUGACACAUGUGAAAUACCUGGUUGAAACAAAGUGCCAAAGUAAGGAAAGUAGAAAGAAACUUCGGAGGCACAAAAAAACAUCUCUCUCAACUGAUCAACCACAUGAAUCACAACAAACUUCCCAUCUAUUUAUAUAUAUAUAAUUGGAUUUGAAGGUUACCAAAUCCAAAUCCAAAUCCCAAUCCCAAAGAUUUACUUCUGGUUUCGGCUACCAAUUUCUAUCAAAAACCUUUUCUUUCGGAUAUCUGUUCAAGUUAUUUACAGAAAAUAAUAUAUAUUUCCAUAUAAUUGUAGAUAUUUGAAAUGUGUACAUUGAGGGGUCAAGAGCUUUUCAAGGUAUAAAGGGCUACACAUAUCUCUAAUUGAUUAAAUUUUGUUGUUUUCAUAUACUCAUCAUGAUAUAUAGAUAUAUAUACUACAUACAAAUUAAUAUGAUAGAAACCCAUACCUAUUAUUCUGAGCAAACUCAUGUGAUAUCAUUUCAAAAAUAAUUACGCACACUGUUAUAUAUAUAUAUAUAGCCAUUCUGAAUAAGUAUAUAUAUAUAGAUUUUAUAUGAGUUGCGUAUCAAAAUUUCUUUUGGGUAUAAAUAUUAUAGUUUUGAAUUCUAGCACAUAUAUGCAUCUUCUAGGAAGCUUCGACCAUCAACUCAUAAAUUUAAAUUUAUUGAGAGAGUAUAUACAGUGUUGGUUCUUGUACGGAUAAUAUUAGACAAUAUAAUAUAAGUACUUAUCAACAAAUAUAUAACACACGUAUAUAUAUAUAUAAUAUAUGUAUAUUAGCCUACAACCAGACCAGUACGUACUGUUUCUAUAACAUGAUUUUUUGUUCUAAUAAGUGAUAUAUUAUGUGAAACAUGUGAUGUGUUUAAAUAUAUUAUUGCUAUUAGUUAAAAUAUAUAUUGGGAAUUUGGGACCAUUAUUAUGUAUCAGUGUACUCAUCGAGACAGAGUAGUAAAAUUAAAUUCAUCGAUCACGACAGUUUAAUUAUUAUUAUUUGCACAUAUAAUUUUACGUUUUUACAAAAAAUUAUGGUUAUUAUUUGGCAAUAUGCUUUAUUUUCCGAAUUACAAAAAUAUAUAAUGAAAGUACUAAUAAUUGGCACUCAUCAACAUCAGACUUAAUUUAUAAUUUUUUUAUUAAUAUGCACUUAAUUAUAUGUUAAACGUACGUGUCAUUUUGGGUUUAGGUUAUUAAGGUUUAACUUGUGAAUUUUAAUGUUUCUUAGAAUUUGGAAGUAUAAAGAGUGGAAAUAAUAAAUUGAGUUCCAUCUCAAAUCAAUUAGAAUGAAGAGGAUUACAUUUUCACACAUUAAAUUAAUGUGAGAAUCUCUAUCAUUCCUUCAAAAAUAGUAAUUAUUUUUUUUCACCAAUCUUAAAUGCGGCUCCAUUAUAAGUGGAACUUUUGGCUCACUAAAUCACAGAAGCAAAGGCUGUAUUUUUGACUCACGGUAGUUUUUUUUAGCUCGUCUUUUUAGGCUAGUUAUUGAAUUUAGAUGACUUACGUCUCAAAAUUAAUUGAUAAUAUUGAAAAAAAAAAAAUUACAUUUAUUAUUAAUGUAGAAUUUUUUUAACAGUGUGUAAACUAUUUUGAUCCGUACUUGUUUAUGAUAAAGUUAAACCCACUAAUUCUGUACCACUUUUAAACCGUUUUAUGGUGUCAUAAUUUAUAUUUUCAUAUUUAUUUUUGCAUCAAUAACCUUAUGCAUUUGAAUAAUGUAGCAUUUGUGUAUAUAUAUAGUCUUUUUUUCUUAAUAACUAUGUACGUAUACCGGGUUUUUAAAAUAUAUACUAGCUCGUGAUUUGACAAUUUAACCCAUUAAUAUACAUACGCAAUCUCUGAUAUACAUAUAUAGUAUUAUAUAGUUACGUACAUAUAUAUAUAUAUGCAUUAUUGUACUUAAUUACUGCAAGAUACAUGAUAUCACUAUAUCACAUAACGUACACUUCGCAAUGUACGUAAUAUAUAAAAACUUAUAUAUAUUCACACACAUAUAUAUAUUAUACGACCUAUUAAUAUAUAAACUCUAGCUUAUGAUAUAAAUAUAAUUAUUAUUUAACUGCAUCUAAUUAUAUGUAAUGUAUACAAUCUCGGUAGCUCUUUGGAUUUUACUAAGGGGAGAUUUUUCACUAGAUAUUACUAGAGCUUUUAUAUACCAUAUAUAAUAUUAUAUGAUUGAUUCGGAUGACUAUGAUUCUAUUUCUAUUCCUUUUGGGAAUUGUAUUGUCUACUUCGCUCGUUCCUAAAUUAUUAUUUGGAUGUAUAUAAACAUAUAUGUAGCCCUAGUUUGGAUGAUAUGUAUGUAUUUGUGUAUUUGUAUAGUAUGGUAUAUAUAUAGGGUUGCGCCGAAAUACGAAAGGGGUGUAAUUUCGAGGAAGGUUCGUAUAUUAAUGAAAUAAUUAGAAGACCGACACGAAGGAAAGAUGGCCCAUUGUUUGUUUUGGCCACAUGUAAUUAAGCCAAAGAUUUAUAUACAAUAUUUACAAAAUUUGGACCCCUACGUCUAAGUACGUUCUAUACUACUAAUUAUAUAUAUAUAUAUACUACUUCAUUCAGUAAUUUUUUGUCUCCAUAUUAUCAUCGCAUGUGCUUCCACAUCUUCAUAUCAAUCACCUCUAUAAAUCUAUGUAUCUAUAUGUAUAUAUAUU
This is a long non-coding RNA of Cannabis sativa, 2749 nucleotides long. RefSeq lists it as uncharacterized. The transcript has 2 exons. Lineage: Eukaryota; Viridiplantae; Streptophyta; Magnoliopsida; Rosales; Cannabaceae. The record is from RefSeq and is a predicted model, not a curated record.